UACGAAGGGGGCUAGCGUUGCUCGGAAUCACUGGGCGUAAAGGGUGCGUAGGCGGCUUUCUAAGUCGGGGGUGAAAUCCUGGAGCUCAACUCCAGAACUGCCUUCGAUACUGGAGAGCUCGAGUCCGGGAGAGGUGAGUGGAACUGCGAGUGUAGAGGUGAAAUUCGUAGAUAUUCGCAAGAACACCAGUGGCGAAGGCGGCUCACUGGCCCGGUACUGACGCUGAGGUGCGAAAGCGUGGGGAGCGAUCCGG
RNAcentral lists this ribosomal RNA (253 nucleotides) under uncultured bacterium. RNAcentral describes it as "partial 16S ribosomal RNA". It matches the Rfam family "Bacterial small subunit ribosomal RNA", at positions 524 to 776 of the family's 1533-position model. The record is from RNAcentral.